RNAcentral lists this unclassified non-coding RNA (329 nucleotides) under soil metagenome. RNAcentral describes it as "partial contains 5.8S ribosomal RNA, internal transcribed spacer 2, and large subunit ribosomal RNA". The stretch from base 1 to 120 matches the Rfam family "5.8S ribosomal RNA", at positions 35 to 154 of the family's 154-position model. The record is from RNAcentral.
GAUGUAGAACGUAGCGAAAUGCGAUAAUUAAUGUGAAUUGCAGAAUUUAGUGAAUCAUCGAAUCUUUGAACGCACAUUGCGCCCCUUGGUAUUCCGGGGGGCAUGCGUGUUCGAGCGUCAUUUCAACCCUCAAGCUCUGCUUGGUCUUGGGCCGCGCCGGCAACGGCGGGCCUCAAAAACAGUGGCGGCGCCAUCUGGUCCCUCAGCGUAGUAAUUCUUCUCGCUGCUGGGCCCCGGUGGCCGCUUGCCAGCAACCCCAAACUUUCUAUGGUUGACCUCGGAUCAGGUAGGGAUACCCGCUGAACUUAAGCAUAUCAAUAAGCGGAGGA